GACGAACGCUGGCGGCGUGCCUAAUACAUGCAAGUCGAGCGGGCCUCCGGAGGUGCUUGCACCUCCGGAAGGCCAGCGGCGGACGGGUGAGUAUCACGUGGGCAACCUGCCUUUGAGGCCGGGAUAACACCGGGAAACCGGUGCUAAUACCGGCUGCGUCCUCUUUCGUGCCUCCGAUAGGGGAGAAAGACGGUCUUCGGGCCGUCGCGCAAAGACGGGCCCGCGGCGCAGUAGCUGGUUGGUGGGGUAAGGGCCUACCAAGGCGACGAUGCGUUGCCGACCUGAGAGGGUGAUCGGCCACACUGGGACUGAGACACGGCCCAGACUCCUGCGGGAGGCAGCAGUAGGGAAUCAUCCGCAAUGGGCGAAAGCCUGACGGUGCAACGCCGCGUGAGUGAGGAAGGUUUUCGGAUCGUAAAGCUCUGUUGUGAGGGAAGAACAGCUUCCGGAGGAAAUGCCGGAGGUUUGCUGGUACCUCACCAGAAAGCCCCGGCUAACUACGUGCCAGCAGCCGCGGUAA
This 520-nucleotide ribosomal RNA is filed under the name uncultured bacterium. RNAcentral's name for it is "partial 16S ribosomal RNA". It matches the Rfam family "Bacterial small subunit ribosomal RNA", at positions 28 to 523 of the family's 1533-position model. The record is from RNAcentral.